Mobula hypostoma (lesser devil ray) is the source of this 13192-nucleotide RNA transcript. It is a transcript of the gene named FLVCR choline and heme transporter 1, with no coding region annotated. The transcript is spliced from 10 exons. NCBI's taxonomy places the organism in Eukaryota, Metazoa, Chordata, Chondrichthyes, Myliobatiformes, Myliobatidae. The record is from RefSeq and is a predicted model, not a curated record.
UCGUCUUCGUCUCAUUCACUUAGGAAGCGUCAGUAAGUGUGAAUGUAAAUGAGAAAUUUAUUGUACAUUUUACACAGAUCACACACACACACAGAGGAUUUUAAUUGUCAAGCAGAUAUAUAAUCCGCUUUUAUAGGUAAUAAAACAGGUAUAUAUCUUAUUUAACGUCGAAAUAACACUGAGAAUGAAACAAAAGGUGACAAUGGACGUCGAAGGAACAGGAUGUCCUGCGACAAAGGAGGCAUCCGCCGCUUGCAGCAAAAUUGUGAUAGAUAAUGGUAUGAAUGGGCAUAUCGAGGCGGCGGAGUGCGAAGGAAGCGCAGAGAAAGGUGCGCGGUCUCCGGAAGAGAGAGAGGCCAUGCUGACUGGCGAUGUGAAGCCGAUCGAGUGCCGGGUUUACUGGACCAGGUUCCUGAUCCUGACCGUGUUCAGCCUGUACUCCAUGGUCAACGCCUUCCAAUGGAUCCAGUACAGCAUCAUCUCCAACAUCUUCAGCACUUUCUACCAGGCCUCCUACGAGCAGAUCGACUGGUUGUCGAUAGUCUACAUGCUCGUCUACGUCCCUCUCAUCUUCCCCGCCGCCUGGCUGCUCGACAAAAAAGGCUUGAGGAUCGUGGCGCUGCUGGGUUCCGGUCUCAACUGCAUCGGAGCGUGGAUUAAAAUCGCAAGCGUAAGGCGAGACCUGUUUGGGGUGACCAUGUUCGCCCAGACGGUCUGUUCCAUCGCUCAGAUUUUUAUCCUCGGGCUGCCCUCUCGGGUGGCCUCCGUAUGGUUCGGGCCCCGAGAGGUGUCUACGGCGUGCGCCACCGCCGUCCUGGGCAAUCAGCUUGGUGUGGCUUUAGGUUUUCUUUUGCCUCCAAUUUUGGUGCCUAAUACUCCAGAUGAUCUUGAUCUGAUGGCAAGCAACAUAAGUAUAUUAUUUUAUGGAACAGCUGCCGUAGCCACUGGGUUGUUCAUCCUGGUUGUAGCAGUAUUUAAAGACAAGCCUCCACUUCCUCCAAGCCAGUCCCAAGCUGUGCUUUUGGACAGCCCUAAUGAUUAUUCCUACAGACAAUCGAUUGUAAAUUUGUUUAAGAGUGUUCCAUUUGUGCUACUGCUAUUAAGUUAUGGUAUUCUGACAGGGUCAUAUUAUUCAGUAGGAACACUAUUAAAUCAAAUGAUCAUUGCUCACUAUGAGGGACAAGAAUUGAAUGCUGGUAGAAUUGGAUUAACUUUAGUGGUAGCAGGAAUGGUAGGUUCCAUCAUCUCUGGUUUCUGGGUGGACCGCACAAAGGCAUACAAGAAGACCACCCUUGCAGUCUACAUUAUUUCAUUUAUUGGAAUGCUUGUUUUCACCUUUACCAUAAGUCUUGGCCAUAUCGAAGUAGUGUUUGUGACGGCUGGAGUCUUGGGUUUUUUCAUGACUGGUUAUCUUCCAUUGGGCUUUGAAUUUGGUGUAGAAAUAACCUAUCCAGAAUCCGAGGGAACAUCAUCUGGACUUCUCAAUGCUUCUGCACAACUAUUUGGAAUUGUGUUCACACUGGCCCAAGGAAAGUUGAAAGCUGAUUAUGGCACAUUUGCAGGAAAUAUCUUUCUUUGUUCUUGGAUCUUACUGGGACUCAUUCUUACAGAGCUCCUUUUACCAGCUGCUCCUCUCUCCAGCACAGGAAGUAUAUAGCCAGUUCAACAAACUACAGGUACUAAGUUUUGAUUGUAUGUUGAGUACUGUAAAUACAUUUAGUAAACUACAAUAGGUUUUCACAAAUUUUAUGUAAAUCAAUUAGCAAAAAAGAAAUGGUGUUAGGUUAAUUAGUUAAUUGGAAAGUCUUAGAAGUUAUCAGUAGUACAUGGAAUUUGGAAACUGAGGGGAUCAACCAAUGAAUAAAAUGUGAAUCUGGAUGGAUGAUAUUAGAUCUUUUUCUUAAAUUACAUAGCUUAAGAAUGAAAUUCAGAUAGAAUGUUUAUGAAACUUCACUCCAAGUUUUGAUGGAUAAUAACUGAAGAAUUUUUGACUAAAUUAAAAUUUGAAAAGGCCUAUCAUUGUGUAGCAGUGCAGAUCACAUGAUCCCCAACAUGCUCCUCUGGUUAUCCAGUUGCAGCUCUGGGUGCGUACAAGUACAUCACACUUAAAGGCUUAGAUAAGAUAAUGGAGCAAGGAACUCUGCACCUGUUUGGGGUUCUAUAAUAUUAAAAAAAAGUCUGUUCUCCAGUGUGAGGUUGCUGCUAAUGGUUAGUCCUAGGAGAGGUUGUGCACAAAUCUUGACAACAUACACUGACUCUGCAAAACCACCUAAAUGUAUUGCAGCUUUUUAACAGAUUUCCAGUAUCUCUUCUUUAUACAGUGUGUCAUCACUCUUCUGUCACUUGAAAUAAAGGCAUGUGGCAAAACAUGGCGGCUAUGCAAGUGACGGUAAGAAAACAAAACAGUGGUAAGGGAAGAAGUUCACUUAAGUGGAUAAUCGCAAAUGAAAAGCUCACAAAGAGUAAAUUAUAAAGCUAGCUGAAACAUCUUUCAAGGAUCUGACCACUUCACACAUUAUAAUGGUCAUAAACUAUUAAGCUUUCAUUCUUGCUGUUUACAUCCUGUGAACUCUUUUGAGUGUCUGCAGCUUUGCGACACACACAUAGCUCUUGUUUAGUUUGCUGGCAUGUUUUUAUUAACAAGUCAAUUGUGAAGCUAGUCUCUUUAGGUUUUAGGAAAGAAAUAUAACCAGUCAACAUGAACGAACCAGGAUUGUGACUGUCCAUGGACAAUCGUGUACAGGGUAAGGCGGCAUUACGCUGCUGCAAGUAAGCAAAACCAUGGUGUUAUGAGAAAAAGAAAUUCUAAUAGGGAUUGAUUGUACUAUCAAUUGGAACACUGUCCCCUCACCUCUGGGGUCUUUAUUGAAUUGAGGCUGUAUGUAGUGUAUGAAUGAGGUAGUUUUAAAUACAUAAUUUGUAACUGAUAAUCUACCUCCUUAACUCACACAAUUCCCCCACCUGGGCAGCUAGUGGUUUGAUGCCAAGAGAAAAAGCUAACUCUUGAGAGGCCAGAAAAUAAAAGUAGCUGUGGUGGAAAAUAUCACACUGAUGUUCAAAGCUUACAGUUAAGACAUUGCUUUGGUGUAGAUUAGAGAGUUUUACUCUGCAUCUGACGAAUAUUGGCAGUGCCAGGUGGGCAUAAUGCUGGCUUGGGCUGGCAAAUUCUGAGCUAUUUGGUUCUGAUUUACAAAAAGUUAAAUAUUUGACAAGUUAGUGUCAGUUUAUGUUUUUGUUUCUUCAGCAGAAAGUUAAUACUCUAGUCUGUCCACCCUCUGAUGUGGAAAAGUGACAUAUUUCCUCCAGCCACUAAAAGUGGCUUGCAGUUGAUUAUUGUUAAAGGUAAUUAAUUUGUGGGUAUGACUUAAUAAUAAAAUGCCACUUUGAAAAGUAAGUAAUUGUAGAUGUUAUAUGUGCACACUCAAUUCAGUUGAGUUUUCAGUAAGUAGUUAGGCCACUGCAAAAAUCACAUUACUCAAAGGCCUCGGAUACUUCAAACAUCUAUAAGAUACAAUAAAAAGUUUACUGCAUGCAUCUGUUAAUACACUUAUUAGUUUUAAAAUAUAAAUUUUAAAAAUGGAGCAUCUCAGAAGUGAUGUACUUAAAUCUACAUGCACUACCCAUGAGAAUGCAACUUUAACAUCUUGAAUUAGCAUCUGUUUUACAUUGGACCUAGCUAUAAUGCACCACACCAAAAAGAGGAGAAAGAAUAGUUGGGAGUUAUUAUGAGGCAGUAAUUUUUUGGGGGCUUCUAGAGGACAUAAAUUUCAAGAUGAAGUGUGGAUUUCAAUCCUCUUGAACAUCUGUUUUUUUUACCCUUUAAUUUCUGGACCAUCACAGUUUUUGACAUAAUUUAUACUACUUGGUGUUGUCAGUGGUAAUUAAGCAAAGCAGUUGUCCUCGAAUAAGGGUGUGACAAUAGCAACAAGCAUUUUGAGCUGCAGUCACACAGAACGGUAAUGCUAUGCAGAAUCUAUACAGGAAGUUUUCCAAGCCUGGCUUUCUGUAGAGCUGCUUGUUCCAAGCUCAAGUCAUGCACUGUUACUGGAAAAUGAGUCUGAUCUGCUUUAAGAAUUAACUAUUUCUAACAAUUUUUUUCUUAUUUAUUUUGAAACAUAGAUAUUGAAGGCUUAUAGUUAAAAGAAACUAAACCAGUAAUAAAACUAGUUAAAUUCCACAUCUCCAAGGCUAGUGGGUAAUUCUGUUUUGGUAAAUUUCUGAUCCGCUAAUCACGUCCUCUGUUUUUAAGGCCUCAAAAUCACUCCCUUCUAUUUAUAACUUCUAAUAUGUGCUGGAUGAUUUUAUUUCUAAAUUGGUUAGUCUUGCUAUUUUCAGCCAGUGUUCUGUCUGGAAGCAGUGUGAGGUAAGGACUCUGCAAAAAAUUGUAAAGUCAAUAUUUUGUUGUAUGGUGCUAAUAUGCAGUUGAAUUAAAAUAUAACUGGAUGGUGACUUUCAUAAAGGUUUACAGAAAUCAAUUCAAUAUAUUUGUUUCUUACUGGUUUCUUCAUAAAUUGAUGCCAUUGUAUAACAUUUGUAGAAAGAUUAAGAUGUGCCUGUAACUGAUAAAUCUGUUUUUAUUAUAUAGAACAACUGCUUAAAUAAUGUCAAUGAAGUUUCUUUCAGUAAUUCUAAUUUUACUUAACUUAGCAUUGUAUUUGUAAUAUCCUUAUUUUGAAAACCGAGUCUCCAUUUUAAUAUGUGCAUUUUUGAAAGCUUCGUAUUUUGGCUUUUAAGAGAUGCUGAACAAACUUUGCUGUAUCUGAAUUUUUCUGAUAUUAUUGCUUAAUUGACUGCAUAGGCAAACUAACAACUUUUUUAAGAAAAGUCAUAUUUGCCUUAGGUUCCUAUUCUGAUAAAAUGUGCCCAUAAUGCAAAUAGAUUUUUUCAUAAUUUUUAUUUUCUUUACAGUUUUCAUAAAAGCAGACUUAAGAAGACAACAAGCAAAUUUGGCUGCAAAUGCUCAGUUUGCUGAUCGUGAUUCACUAGAAAGAGUUUCUACUGCACAAAAUGAGCUUCAUGCACCAGAAGAAACUACAAUCUAAUUAAUAUGGGAGAACGGAUGGCAGUGGUACAGCGCACAACUAGUAAAUGGCACUGAAAUAAAUAUGAAGAGCUGCUAAUGGUGCAAUGGUUAGAAAAAUGUGAUAAUUUAUUAACAGUGACCAAUAUUUAUUAGUAGUUCAAAUAAUGGACUCAUUUUAACUGGUUUCAAGAGCAUUAGAUUGUUUUAGUCCAGUAAAAUUAAUAUUUUUGCAAAAUAAAUGAUUAGAAGUUUGAUUAGUUUGGACAAAUCAUUUCUACAGAAGAUUUAAACUGGACCACAUUUCCAUUUUUAUAUAUAAAAAUGUAUGAGAGCCAAGUAACUUGAACAUCUUUGCCAGUCUUGUAUAUGGACUUUCUGCUUAAGUGUUAUUUUUAAUCGUUACUUUACCAGUGUCUGGUAAUUUUCCAAAUGUAAGCACACUGUAUUUUUGACAUUCUCAUUACUUUUUAAAAAAGAAUUGCUUUGUUUUUCUUAGUUAUUGCUCUUGGGCAUGUUGGAUGAGUUCUGAGAACGGGUCAGUGUUCUGAAAAGUGAGGGAGAAUUCAGUCUCCUGAAAAUGUAAACGCUAGCCUUCUUAAUGUUCAAAGAAGAAUUUAGUUUUUUAAGUUAAAUUGUGUAUAAAUAGCUCUUGCACAAUUUGUAACAUCCUUAAAAGCAAUUUCCAUGGAAAUGCAAUUGAUACUUGUUAAGUAGUCAAAACUGUAAUGUGCUCAGCAGUAACUCACACAAAUUUGAUAUGUUUGUAAUACAUGGUUAUAUAUAUCAGCCGAGAGUUUGAACUUUCCGUUUUUAUCCAUAGUCAUGCUAUGGAUAUCAACUAGUAUAUAUGUGAAAAUAUUAGUGGACAAAAGUUAUUCAUACACUUCACUUUGCACUUAAUUCACAUUCACAGGAAUGAAUACAGUAGGUUUAAGUUUCACAGGUGAUAUUCUAUCCUGAACUUCAUAAGAAGCUUGAGAGUAAAAUUGUAAAGUUUGUUGUCUAGUGCAGUCUAUGUACUGUAAGCCCCCAAAUGUUGGGGGUAACAAAUAUCUGUUCAUCACAAUAGUUGUGCCUUUAUUAUUGAUAUGAAAAGAUGCAACGGAUUUUAACUAUGUAGGUGCAUUAAAUUCUAAGAACUGUAUAGGAUCUAAAUGAUUAACCUCAUGUAAGAUCAUUAGUCCACCAGAUGGUACUGUAUAUAUUGGCAAUGUAGAACCAAAGUUAUUAAUUAUGUACCUAUCCUUUCCUCAUACGUUGUUAAUCUCAGUCAGAGCGUCUGUAAAGUUGGAGACAAUUCUGGUUAUCCACUUGCAAAUACUCAUAGUUCUGUCACUUUACCAGAUGAUAACCAUGAAAUUAUAAAACCUGUCACUGUGGAGUGCACAUAGUUGUGGUUACUUUGGUUCAUGUUUCACAUAUCUGUAUAUAAUUGUAUCAUUUUCUUCAUCAUGUGAUUUUAAUACACAAUGAAAUUUUUAUUUUGCACACAGUGGUUUGUGUGUUCUUUUUUUCCUGUCACUCUCUCCUUCCUUCUCCAGAUAGCUUUGCUGGAAUCAGGAAAUUUUGUCGGGAAUUGAUAGUGCUUUUAUAAUGCUAUGGUAUAUUUAGGCAUUUGAAAAGAAAAUGGGUGAGCCUGAAACUUCAACGGUUGUUUGAUGAGGGAAUUUGUAUGAACAGCAAUUAAGGCACCAUAAUCAGUAUUUUAAAGCUGCUGCUUAAUCUGGUUUUGAAGUUCUAUAUUUCAAUUUGAAAUGAGAAGAGAUUAAACCUUUUACAUGAACUCUGGGAAGGACUAGCUUGUGAAUAUUUUUGCGCUGUCCUUUCACCUUUGGGAAUGGAUUCCAAACAUACCCUGACUGAGGAAUGAAAAUCUCACUUGGAGGUUCUGUCGAUGUCUUGAGAACUAACUGUGUUGUCUCCAGCACAGGAUUUGGAUCAGGUCCGUAUGACAAAGUUGGCAGAAAUUAGAAAAUCAAGUUGAUCAGUAAAAGAAGUGGCAAGAAGAAAUGUGUACUCGUGAUUUGGAUUUUGGUCAUUGUAGGGUAAAUUUAUUCUGUUACUUUCAAAAUUGAAAUGUGAAUUUAAAAUGUUGCUGGAAAUGGUAUUAACAUAAUAGAAGAAAUUAGUUAGGAGUGUGAGAUCUUAAAAUGCUUGGGUCACCAUGAAGCUUAUUUCUCAUCACACCACCUAAGGCAGAAUUUAGUUGUAGAGUUUAGGAGUUUUUGCAGGUCUGCUCUGCUGGAUGUCAUCAGCCAGUGCUCCUGAAAGCUCUGUUUUGUCACUGGAUUAACCUAAAUUUUUGUAAUCCAUGACUCACUGGAACUAUAAAUAUUUUUAAAUCACAGGUCAGGAAGCAACUGAAGUAUGGGGAAUGUGUCCCUGAUACCGGUGGUUAGCGGUAAGACUACGUUGUAGUUUGUGUAUUAUUAAACAUUAGAAAUAUUGAUUGAACCCAUGGCAGAUAAUUAAACCAUAUUGAUACUGUACCUGUCCUUUGAAGGUUUCCUGGGUUUUCUAGUGAGUGCAUGGGAGGUGUUAAAGCAUCUUUGAAUAUUAGGUAAUUGAUAAGCUAAGUUAGUGUUACUCCCAAGUCUCUAUUGGAUAUAUAAAAACUCUAAAUUUUGCCAUAGUUUUUUUUUCAGGCUACAGUUUCUAAUAGAGUAUAUUGAAAAGCUUUAUUUGCUUACUGGAUAGCUAAUGUGUUUGGGAUCUUUUUCUUUUUCAUCUAACCAUUUUUUUCUAUUUCCUAUUGAUUAUUUUUGGAAGCCCAACUGUCUUUUCACUUUUUGCCUAGGUAGACAUUAUACAAACCUCGGCACUUAAAUUAUCUUGCUACUGCUGUGCUUGCUUCCUAUGUUCUCAGCAGGUAUAUAUUUUCAGCCAGCAGGGUAGUAAUUGUUGUAGUAUAUCCUCUUUAAGCAAGGGCACACUGUAGAAACAUAGUUGACUGAAUGACAAACUAGUGCAAAUCAGAAUUCAACUCCAGUCUUUAUUUCUACCCUGGCUGUGCUAUUCGGAUCGCAAUCAUUGAUAAACAUCACAAGUGUAUUUAUGUCACAUGCUGAGCCAUUUUUCAUUAUGAAAUAUUCUUUGUAAUUGUGGUAAGUAGGGCAGAUCAGCUAACAAAUUAUAUUUCAUUUGCAUCUGAGACCCAAAAUCUGCCCUGAAUAGCUUGAACCAAAACGCUGGAUCAGGCAACAUCUGUUGGAAGGGAAGAAAGGAAGUGUCAGUGUUUAGGAUUUAAACCCUACAUCAUGAUUAAGAAGGAGGAGAAAGCUGGUAUAAAGAAAGGGGUGUGAUGAGACGGGCUAGAGGUGAUUAGUGGACCUGCAGUAAGUGGGGUGAAAACUGACAGAUCGAGGGGUAAGAGUAAGGAGACAGGCAGUUGGCCUUAGGGAUGACUGGCCCAACCAACAAAUCAAGAAACUACGUUAUAUCAUUCACAUAAUUUAAUUUGUCUUAAUUGUUGUAACUACUGAUGGCUCAACUGGCCACUAACAUAGAAUCACAAGUACUAGCAAACAAGGAUGCCAAUUGCUCAAUGCCCAUAUCAUUAAAAACUCUGGCUAUUUAAUUACCUUGUUUCCUGGUAGUGAUUAGUAGCCUUGCAGGUCACAGCUCUCCCAGAUUUCUGACUCUUCAACCCUUUCAGGCAGAGAGGUACUCACUGUUUUAAACAAAAGCUUUUUCCUUGCAUCUAAUCCUACUAUCAGUUGAUUAUCCAGCCUCCAUUUAAAAUUACCUCUACCUGAAAUCUUAUUUUUAUUCCAACUUAAUGCUUUCUCUUGGAUCCCAUGAGUGUUUAAUUUCCUGAUUAUUCUGAUAUGUUCUUCAGAACUUUGUCAAAAACUUUUACUAUGUUCCAGCCAUCCUUGUUAAUCUCCAUAAAGAUCUAUCUUCCUCUUCUGUUGAUUAACAAGCUCCUCUUGUGGUGAUUUAGGCCCUGUCCCAGAAUUAUUUCCAACACUUUUGGCCACACUCUGUUCCUAACAGAACCUUUUCUGUUUCCUGCCACAUGGUUUACUUUGAAAUUGUGAAUUUAAUGCUAUUGUUUGAUCCAUUUUCAGCAAUAGCAUUAUACGUUAUGAAAAUUGCAUAAUCUGUCUAAUCACUGAGAUAGCGUAUCUGUGGUCAAGAUUGCACACAAUUUGAAUAUGUAUUUUGACUGAAAAAAGAUGCUACAAUAUGUGACAAAUAGAAUAUGAAUCUAGCUCAUUUCAGCAUUACUAGAUGUCUAUUUCUAAAUAUUUCUUCAGCUAACUGGCAUUUGUCAAUUUGAUUUGGGGGGGGUGGGGGAGCUAAAGAAAUCACUGUCCUAAUCAUGUUUGUAAUUUAAAUUAUCAUUUGAGUGUUUUUAUAAGUUCACUCUUUAAGAAAAAAAUGAGACAUAUUUCAGUAGUUAUGUUUAAUGUUUAUUGUGGUUGGUUCAAGAUACUUCCAUAACUUGUAAUGGGGAAUUUUAUUCAUAAUUAUUACAGCAGUGUACUGGAGCAGCAAGGUAGACUGACGCUGUAGGAGCAACUGUUGAAAAGUAUUGCGUGAGAGGAUCUAAAGGUAUAAUAUUUACUGAAUGGCAGGGUAAUGUUUGUUAAUUAUGUUCUGUCUGAUGGAAUGUUUCAAUAUAUAUUCUGAGCUUAAGAGCACUGGUCUGAGUAGAGUUUGCUGCUAAAUAUAGCAAGUUAUCAGAUUUGAGAGUAGUUUUCAGAGAUUCAUUUUCCUCUGAUGCCAUUCCUGUUCUCUAUUUGUUUAAUCACUAAGAAAAUAAAUAAAUCUGUUUGUUUAUUUUGUACUUUCAAUUGUCAUUUCAUUGGUUUCAGUUAACAGAAUCUUAUUGAAUAGGAGUGGCCAUUUCUACUCCCUGAUAUCUUUUUCAUAAUUAACUAUUUUUUUCUUUUACAACAAUAUAAUUUUUUUCUAAACUAUCAGUUAAUAUGGUCCCACUCCCUUUUUGGAUAACUAUUUCCUUCUGGUCCAAAUGUUACCAUGCGCUUGUGUCCCCAUGGUUAUUCACUCACAGUAGAACCUACAUCAAGAACGAUUAAUCAUUAUCAGUUUUUCCCCCUUUGCCUAGAUUUAAGGAGGGAAAAAAGGGUGCUCUUACCUGGAGGUAUUGGUCAGGUUUAAAUUUUAGUAGCCAUUACUACCAAUAGUUAAUUGUGUACAAAUCGCAGAUGUCUUGUUUUGAGUUGUGCAGUUUUGGCCUUAAGUUUUCAUUAUUAGAGAAAAGAAAAUGUUACUGAUGAGGAAAAAAUGCAGCAGGGAUGAAUUGAUGGCUAUUUUUAUUAAUGGUACAAUUAUUGCAAGUUGUUGGUUUUGAUGAAAUGCUAUGAGAACAAAAUAGAACUUGCACUGGUGUCUUCAGUUUACCCUUGCCUAUGUAUAAAUGCAUCCAUAUUUCCUGAUCUUAGCUAUGCUAUUGGAGAACCAUUUGGAACUUGGUACAAUUCACUUUUUUCCCUUUAUCCUACCAUCCCAUGAAAAUGUGAACAUGCCAUUGUUUCCCUAAAAUUUUUAGUUUUCUGUCAAUAUGUCAGUUGGACCCAAGUCCUACAUUCAAAGAAAUUGUACUUUUCCAUUCCUUUUUUUUGUAGAUAGAUGGUAUGUACUAAAAGGAUGGUUUACAUCCUAUUCGUUACUCAGACUUCCGAUAAUACUUCAAAAUAAGUUGUAAUCCUUGAUUGUAGGAAUCAUUUUGUAGAACUAUAGAAGAAUGCUUGAGUGGUUUAUCAUUAAGCUAGUUGUUAUUUUUAAGUAAUUUUUCCCCUUAACUAGUUAAUCAUUUUGUUAUACUUGUGUGUCUAUACACUCCAACUUGAAGAGUUUUGGUACCCUUUUAUUGGGUCUCAUUUAAAGAUUUUGAACUUGCAUAAUUGUUAAUAUUGUAAUGCAAUGAUUGUAUUAUGUAUGUAUAUGUGUGGUUGUUAUACACAAUAUCUUCAAGUGGUUUUCUUCUUUGCCUACAAUGAUCAGCUUAAAAUGCCCAGCUUGGUAAGAUUUUACAUUUUGUGGCUACACACUCUUAAAAAGGACAUCUUACUCGGCAUAUAAUGGGUAUAUUAUCAUUGUUUAAAAUUACCUUAUGUGGAAUAAAUUGAUCCAGCAAACACCAUUAGGCUAUGAAAAUGUUCCCCAUUAAAUGAACAUUUUCCACAACCAAGGUGCCUUGGUUGACUGUAAUAUGGAAAUGUUGAAUCAUCAUUGUCGAUUACAAUUAUUUCUUAAUAGAUUUUUAAUUCAGUGAGGUAUUAAAAGUUGCUGAUAUACUUCAUGAAUUCUCCUUAAUCAAUUUAAUGUUAUCUUUUGUCGACUAGGUAUUUCCAAUGGUGUUUUUCUAUAGUAUUGCCCCUGUUUGAAAAACUACUGAAUUUUUUUCCUCUCUUGCAAACACUGAAUGUUAUGUCUAAGGAUUCGUUUAGCUGAAUAUUGACAAUUGUUUUACACAACUGUUCAACAGUAAGUUGACAUAUUUGCUGUACCUGACAUAGUUUAAACAAAUACUUCAACACUAAUUAAGAGCUAGCUUAAAAGUUCAAUGACUUUUUUAAUCUGUAUGACAAAAUUCUAUUUUUUUAGACUUGUAGAACUAUGUAUCAGUAUAGUUUACAAAGCAAAGCAGAUAAUUUAUUAAUUUGUUACAUGUUGAACCUCGUGUCUCAGAACUGUUGUAUCCUCAACUAUGUACAUGGUCUCAGACAGCGUGUUUAAGAUGAUUCAGAUAUCUUCUUUCCAUAUUUAAGCUGUUUAACGUUGUGUCUGUAUCUGAUGUAAUUUAAUAUGUUUGCUUGCACCUAUCUGUCAAUGUUUUUUACUAAUCUGGAUAGAUGAAAAUGGAUUGUGCAUGUAUUCAAAGUAUGAACAAUUUGAAGAUCAAUGUAAUUUGUGCUGUUUUUUGGGAGGGAAACCAUGGUGACUUUGACAGAAAAAUCUUAGUGAACUCUGGAGAAGAUUUAAGGUUUUUCAAUAGUUACCCAUUGUGCAUUUAAAACUUUGUAACCCUUUCAGAAGGGAUUUCAUUCAUUGGAUGAGUCAUUGCAGUGAAUGGUGUUUUUCCAAUGUAUAUAUUUACUUCAUUGUAACUUGAAAAUAAUAGUUGCUGAAAUGAUGGUGCUUUUGAAUGUCAGUGCUCAAGCAAAUUCGGUCUCCAUUAGGUUAUCCUUGCACUGCGUUGGAUGUCUGAUGUCAUGAGAGCAAUUUUGCUUGCAUUGGAUGGAUUUAAUUCAGUAAUGUGUCAAUUUGCUCAGCUUUUGUAAUUUCUAUAUUGCUUACUUUUCAUGUUAAAAGUAUGUGGUUUCUAUUGAUCCCACGUUUUUGGUUUGCAUUAAUUUUACACUGAGAGUCAUCUAAACUAAACACCAGUCUUUUUAACAAGCAGUCAUUUCUUCCCAGUUAAUUUGAACUGAGAAAAAAGAACCACCCAAAAUAAACAUUUGGUGACUUCCCUGAAUUUAAGAUGCUGCUUUUGUUUAAAUAAUGAACCCACCUUUUUCAAAAGCAGUUGGCUAUUUAAAAAAAAGUUUAUUUGCUCUAUUCUGGAAUGGAAAUAUUACUUUGCUCUUGUAAGAAGGGGAGCAAAGAGUGGGGAUUUUUUUUGUGGUAAAGUUGUGUUCGUGUGGAUUUUCUGUCAAAGUUGCUUGAGUUGAAGAUAGAGUUUCAACACAAGUGUUUAGGUUAUUUCUGUUUUAUUGCCUUCUAUGCGCUUUUGAUAGGUUUUCUGGAGUGCAAAUCACCCUAUUGUAUGGCUUAUGGUAAUAAUCCUACAUCUUGAUUGCAACUCAAGUGUAAUAGAUUUUAUCUGACAGGUAAUCUGAACCUUCUUUCAUGCUUAUUGGUACCCAAUCUUUGAGCAGCAAAGCUCUAAAUCAUUAGAAUGUAAUGGACAUCAGUACAGGGAGGAUGCCAUGAGUAUGCUAUAUAAAAAUGCUUUCCAGGAUUCUGAAAGUACCAUUUGGUUCUUCAACUUUGGGUGGAGAGUUUCUUCCAUGUGAACAUUUAAAUCAUUUAUCUGAUUUAGCACUGUGAACAAACUGUGUAUAACAACUGAAUAUCUAGUUUUCUUUGCUUCUAUGUGUAAUUAAGUUCUAUUGUGUGUAUAUUGUAUAAUCUCUUAUUUUGCUUAAAACAUUUCAAAAUAAAAUGUCGAUAUUAAACAGCCUCUUGUGUAUUAUU